Molecule: ribosomal RNA, 467 nt
Filed under: uncultured bacterium
Lineage: Bacteria
Description: partial 16S ribosomal RNA
Rfam family: Bacterial small subunit ribosomal RNA
Source: RNAcentral
GACGAACGCUGGCGGCGUGCUUAACACAUGCAAGUCGAACGGAAAGGCCCUGCUUUUGUGGGGUGCUCGAGUGGCGAACGGGUGAGUAACACGUGAGUAACCUGCCCUUGACUUUGGGAUAACUUCAGGAAACUGGGGCUAAUACCGGAUAGGAGCUCCUGCUGCAUGGUGGGGGUUGGAAAGUUUCGGCGGUUGGGGAUGGACUCGCGGCUUAUCAGCUUGUUGGUGGGGUAGUGGCUUACCAAGGCUUUGACGGGUAGCCGGCCUGAGAGGGUGACCGGCCACAUUGGGACUGAGAUACGGCCCAGACUCCUACGGGACGCAGCAGUGGGGAAUAUUGCACAAUGGGCGGAAGCCUGAUGCAGCAACGCCGCGUGCGGGAUGACGGCCUUCGGGUUGUAAACCGCUUUCGCCUGUGACGAAGCGUGAGUGACGGUAAUGGGUAAAGAAGCACCGGCUAACUACGU